UUUCAUUUCUUGUUCGCUUAGUUUCCUGAAACCGUCACGUCGUUUUAAUGGUACUACUAGUCAAGACAAGAAAAUCAACAGGCUUUCAGCCUUGAGGCAACAUUGGAUUUUAUUGAGUUUAACAUAAGAAAAAUUGCACUUUUUUUUUAUGUUAUCAACAAAAAAAUCAGUUGAAAUGGGAUUUGAAGUUCCGUGAGUCCGUGAGGUGAGAAUCCCUAACCUGACUCAGAAGAUAAGAUCACCACUUUGCCACUAAU
This 257-nucleotide long non-coding RNA is filed under the name Saimiri boliviensis boliviensis (Bolivian squirrel monkey). RNAcentral's name for it is "lncRNA (ENSSBOG00000036605.1)". The record is from RNAcentral. Lineage: Eukaryota; Metazoa; Chordata; Mammalia; Primates; Cebidae.